UACGUAGAUCCCGAGCGUUGUCCGGAUUUAUUGGGCGUAAAGCGAGCGCAGGUGGUUUAUUAAGUCUGGUGUAAAAGGCAGUGGCUCAACCAUUGUAUGCAUUGGAAACUGGUAGACUUGAGUCAGGAGAGGAGAGUGGAAUUCCAUGUGUAGCGGUGAAAUGCGUAGAUAUAUGGAGGAACACCGGUGGCGAAAGCGGCUCUCUGGCCUGUAACUGACACUGAGGCUCGAAAGCGUGGGGAGCAGACAGG
This 251-nucleotide ribosomal RNA is filed under the name uncultured bacterium. RNAcentral describes it as "partial 16S ribosomal RNA". It matches the Rfam family "Bacterial small subunit ribosomal RNA", at positions 524 to 776 of the family's 1533-position model. The record is from RNAcentral.